AUUGAACGCUGGCGGCAUGCUUUACACAUGCAAGUCGAACGGCAGCGCGGUCUUCGGCCUGGCGGCGAGUGGCGAACGGGUGAGUAAUACAUCGGAACGUGCCCAGUAGUGGGGGAUAGCUCGGCGAAAGCCGGAUUAAUACCGCAUACGACCUGAGGGUGAAAGCGGGGGAUCUUCGGACCUCGCGCUAUUGGAGCGGCCGAUGGCAGAUUAGCUAGUUGGUGGGGUAAAGGCCUACCAAGGCGACGAUCUGUAGCUGGUCUGAGAGGACGACCAGCCACACUGGGACUGAGACACGGCCCAGACUCCUACGGGAGGCAGCAGUGGGGAAUUUUGGACAAUGGGCGAAAGCCUGAUCCAGCAAGGCCGCGUGUGUGAUGAAGGCCUUCGGGUUGUAAAGCACUUUUGGCGGGAACGAAAAGGACUGUGCCAAUACCACGGUUCGAUGACGGUACCCGCAGAAUAAGCACCGGCUAACUACGUG
RNAcentral lists this ribosomal RNA (484 nucleotides) under uncultured bacterium. RNAcentral's name for it is "partial 16S ribosomal RNA". It matches the Rfam family "Bacterial small subunit ribosomal RNA", at positions 29 to 507 of the family's 1533-position model. The record is from RNAcentral.